Molecule: ribosomal RNA, 253 nt
Filed under: uncultured bacterium
Lineage: Bacteria
Description: partial 16S ribosomal RNA
Rfam family: Bacterial small subunit ribosomal RNA
Source: RNAcentral
UACGUAGGGGGCAAGCGUUGUCCGGAAUCAUUGGGCGUAAAGAGCGUGUAGGCGGCCCGGUAAGUCCGCUGUGAAAGUCCAGGGCUCAACCCUGGGAUGCCGGUGGAUACUGUCGGGCUCGAGUCCGGAAGAGGAGUGUGGAAUUCCUGGUGUAGCGGUGAAAUGCGCAGAUAUCAGGAGGAACACCAAUGGCGAAGGCAGCACUCUGGGACGUGACUGACGCUGAGGAGCGAAAGCAUGGGGAGCGAGCAGG